GGGGGAAUAUUGCACAAUGGGGGAAACCCUGAUGCAGCGACGCCGCGUGAGUGAAGAAGUAUUUCGGUAUGUAAAGCUCUAUCAGCAGGGGAAGAAAAUGACGGGUACCUGACUAAUAAGCCCCGGCUAACUAC
This 134-nucleotide ribosomal RNA is filed under the name uncultured bacterium. Its description in RNAcentral is "partial 16S ribosomal RNA". It matches the Rfam family "Bacterial small subunit ribosomal RNA", at positions 355 to 504 of the family's 1533-position model. The record is from RNAcentral.